CGGAGAUCUCAGGAGACAAGGGCAAAAAUCACCCGUCAUUUUCUACUGAAUGGGUGACUGGAGGACCAUUCAGGUUCCUAGGGACUGGGUCUUGGGGAAGGAUUAAUGUGAAGAGCCCUUGGAAAUCAGCAUUGCCCCUGCCUGCACGGCUAUUGUUCAGAGGAUCCAGGGCUCUCCCAAAGGAAGAAACAGGGAACAUUCAGACUCGGCAGCUGAUGGGACACCACGAGGCUCCUCCUCUGGCUCUUCCUGGUUCAGCUUCACCUCAGGAACAUUUCAGGAGGGCCAUCUCCCGCUGCGCUGCGCUUUUUGAAAAGCCCUUGUAAGAAGCAACAGUCCCACUGCCUACUCUUUUCUCCCUCCUUUCCCUGUUCCUCCAGGUAGGCGCACUAAGAACGAUUUCCUUUGUGGGAAAUGAAGCAGACCCCGGCCGCAGAGGAUCCGUUGUCAUUUCUGAGGUGCAUUUAACUUAAAUAGCCAGGAGAUCUGGAGCCCCCAAAACAGGUCCCUGCAGUGUGGGUGUUCAGACACACGUGUUCCCUUCCUGUGACUGAGGAAGAAGAUGGGUGGAGCAAUGCCCUCUGCUGGAGCGAUGCCUCAUACUGCGUGGACAGAUGUGUGUGGGUGACCUAGCUGCCUGCCUUUUGUUCUCCGGUCUCUCACCCUGUUAUUUCUUCAACUCCCAACCACCGCACAGUUUUUUGUACUCAUGCGGCAUUCUUAACCUCUGACUUGAGUUUUGAGUGGUGUGGAAAACAAAGGAAGAAGUGGGAGGUGGUGAUGGUCUGUGACAUCACGGCCUCAUUCUGAUCUCACAAUCUCAUAGUUACAGGACAUUUCCUCUACCCUCCCUGCCUGGUAUUUGAAAAACUGAAAUCACCUCUACUUAGUGGGUUGGAGAAUGAAAAUGAGAUGGAGUUGCUUUGUAAAGUGUCCGGCCUGUUCUGCGUGUGCCAGGAAAGCCAAUGAGGAAACAGAACAGAAUAUGGCUUGCUGGGCCAUCCAGCUCUUCACAGAUCAAUCCCAAUCCUACUACAAAUGGUGUCCUUACCAAAACCAGCCAGAAGAGCACAUGUGACCAGGAAGCCCCAGUGACUGGACAUGCUCAGGGUCCAGCUGCUAUGACAGUGAGAGCGUUCUGCUGAAGGCCCUGCUGGAGUUGACGUGAAACGAGCCGUGCAGCUUGUUGGAGCUCACACCAGAUUUCCUCCUUUCCCUGUCCUGUUGUGUGUACACCAUUAACCUGGGUGAGCUUAUUCCAGUCAGAGGACCUGGAACUGGAGAGGACGAGGAAGUAUUUUAUCACACCAUAUGGCUAUGCUGCUGAGACUUUGUUCUUAGGAGCCAAAGGAUACCCUGUCCUUACUUCCAACCAGGCAGGAAAGCCAUCCCUAGCCCUUCCAAGGGGUGAGAGCCCAGCAGAGCCUAGAGGAGGAGAGGGUAGGUCCUCUUCAGUGAAUGUUGCCAGUUAAUGUCGGUGCUCAAGAAUCUGGCCAAGUUCAAGUCCAGCAUGAGAGAGCCCCAGAGCAGCCAGGGGUCCUCGGGCAGACCCUCUAGAAAUUAAAGAACGCUCUGAACCUGUUCUUCAACAAGGUGGCCAAGCCCAGUCAGGAGCUUCAUGGUUUGAGGACGUUUAUCAUUUAUUAGUUUCAGGCAUAAGUAGUAGCUCACAGUGGUGUGAACUUGCCUAGUGCCAGCAGCACCCUGAGCCACACUGACCUCUUACGAGCCACAGGCCUUGGCCAAAUUGUAGUCAUCUCUGCUUUUCAUAGCCCUUGGAUGUAAAAUAAGAACACUGCCCAUUUACCCACAGGAGAUUAUAUACAUACAUAUAUAAUUUUAUUUUGUGUCUGUGGUGGUCAGCUAUAUAUGACAGGAAAGCUAUCUGUGGGAAUUUUGAAGGGAUUGCAAUGAAACAUGCACUUAUUGUUUUUUUUAAUGCCCUACAUCUUGUUAAUGCUUGGUAAAGAGUUCUCCCUCUCCCUCCCCCGUUUCUCCCCCUGUCGCUCCCCUCCCUCCUCCCUCUCCCUCCAAGCAGAAAGAAUAACAACUAACUGCUUGCCAGGCCUUGAGAACAUCAACAAGCAACAUACUUGAUUUGUUCUGUUUAGUGAGUCAGAAGACGGAUCAAAUGAGAGACCCCAACAUCUCCGGAGUAACCUGCUCUCAGGAGCUGACUCUUCUGCCGAGGUCAGAGAUGAUCAGACACAUCUGAAUUGCAAUUAGAGAUAAACAGAGCGCUGGGGCUUCUCAAGUCACCAGAGAAUAUGGCCGGGCGACUGGCAGCUACAAGGAUCCCAUUUAUGCGUUACGAUGCAGUUCUAUUCUUCAAUAGCUCACUCCAAACAAGGAAAUUAAAUUAAGCACUGUUUAAAAUGCCUCAGAUAAUAAUAUAAAUUUGUACUGAAUGAAU
RNAcentral lists this long non-coding RNA (2413 nucleotides) under Mus musculus (house mouse). Its description in RNAcentral is "RIKEN cDNA 4930572G02 gene". Lineage: Eukaryota; Metazoa; Chordata; Mammalia; Rodentia; Muridae. The record is from RNAcentral.